UGCAAGUCGAGCGGAAACGACACUAACAAUCCUUCGGGUGCGUUAAUGGGCGUCGAGCGGCGGACGGGUGAGUAAUGCCUAGGAAAUUGCCUUGAUGUGGGGGAUAACCAUUGGAAACGAUGGCUAAUACCGCAUAAUGCCUACGGGCCAAAGAGGGGGAUCUUCGGACCUCUCGCGUCAAGAUAUGCCUAGGUGGGAUUAGCUAGUUGGUGAGGUAAUGGCUCACCAAGGCGACGAUCCCUAGCUGGUCUGAGAGGAUGAUCAGCCACACUGGAACUGAGACACGGUCCAGACUCCUACGGGAGGCAGCAGUGGGGAAUAUUGCACAAUGGGCGAAAGCCUGAUGCAGCCAUGCCGCGUGUAUGAAGAAGGCCUUCGGGUUGUAAAGUACUUUCAGUUGUGAGGAAGGGUGUGUAGUUAAUAGCUGCGCAUCUUGACGUUAGCAACAGAAGAAGCACCGGCUAACUCCGUGCCAGCAGCCGCGGUAAUAC
Molecule: ribosomal RNA, 491 nt
Filed under: uncultured marine bacterium
Lineage: Bacteria
Description: bacterial SSU rRNA
Rfam family: Bacterial small subunit ribosomal RNA
Source: RNAcentral